This 325-nucleotide ribosomal RNA is filed under the name uncultured eukaryote. RNAcentral's name for it is "partial 18S ribosomal RNA". It matches the Rfam family "Eukaryotic small subunit ribosomal RNA", at positions 1470 to 1796 of the family's 1831-position model. The record is from RNAcentral.
CCCUUAGAUGUUCUGGGCCGCACACGCGCUACACUGAAGGAGGCAGCGUGUACUCCUGGAUCGAAAGAUUUGGGUAACCCGCGAAUCUCCUUCGUGCUAGGGAUUGAGGUUUGCAAUUAUCCUUCAUGAACGAGGAAUUCCCAGUAAGUGCAAGUCAUAAGCUUGCGCUGACUACGUCCCUGCCCUUUGUACACACCGCCCGUCGCUACUACCGAUUGAAUGAUUUAGUGAGAACUCGGGACUGGCACUAAGGGGCUGGCAACAGCCUAUUAGAGCCGGGAACUUGCUCAAACUUGAUCAUUUAGAGGAAGUAAAAGUCGUAACA